Molecule: RNA transcript, 2422 nt
Organism: Propithecus coquereli (Coquerel's sifaka)
Lineage: Eukaryota; Metazoa; Chordata; Mammalia; Primates; Indriidae
Gene name: UDP-glucuronosyltransferase 2B31-like
Exons: 5
Source: RefSeq, a predicted model, not a curated record
AAGGACCAGCAACUGGAAUAAAAAGUAUUGCAUUUCACCAAGAUGGCUAUGAAAUUGGCUUCAGUUCUUCUGCUGAUACAGCUGAGUGGUUACUUUAGCUCUGGGACUUGUGGAAAGGUGCUGGUGUGGCCCACAGAUUUCAGCCACUGGAUGAAUAUGAAGACAAUCCUGGAUGAACUUGUCCAGAGAGGACACGAGGUGACUGUACUGACAUCUUCAUUUUCCAUUCUUGUUCAUCCCAGCAAAACAUCUGCUAUUAAAUUUGAAGUUUAUCCCACAUCUUUAACUAAAAAGGACUUUGAGGAUCUUUUUUGGAAACUGAUGAAGAAAAUGAUAUAUGAUACUCCAAAGAAUACGUUUUGGUCAUAUUUUUCACUAGUAGAAGAAAUUAUGUGGGAAUAUUCUGACUGUAUUAGAAAGAUUUGUAAAGAUGCAGUUUUAAACAACAAACUUAUGACAAAACUAGAGGAGUCAAAGUUUGAUGUUGUUUUUGCAGAUGCCUUUGGUCCCUGUGGUGAGCUCCUGGCUGAAAUACUUAAAACACCCCUUGUGUACAGUCUCCGCUUCUCUUUUGGCUACACAUUUGAGAAGUAUAGUGGAGGACUUCUAUUCCCUCCUUCCUACGUACCUGUACUUAUGUCAGAAUUAAGUGAUCAAAUGACAUUCAUAGAGAGGGUAAAAAAUAUUUUAUAUAUGCUUUAUUUUGACUUUUGGUUCCAAACAUUUAAUAUGAAGAAGUGGAAUCAGUUUUACAGUGAAGUACUAGGCAGACCCACUACGUUAUAUGAGACAAUGAAGAAAGCUGAUAUGUGGCUCAUUAGAACCUACUGGGAUUUUGAAUUUCCUCGCCCACUCUUACCAAAUUUUGAUUUCGUUGGAGGACUCCAUUGCAAACCUGCCAAACCCCUGCCUAAGGAGGUGGAAGACUUUGUCCAGAGCUCUGGAGAGAAUGGUGUCGUGGUGUUUUCUCUGGGGUCAAUGGUCAGUAACAUGACAGAAGAAAGGGCCAACGUGAUUGCUUCAGCCCUUGCCCAGAUCCCACAAAAGGUUCUAUGGAGAUUUGAUGGCAAGAAACCAGACACCUUAGGACCUAACACUCGGCUGUACAAGUGGAUACCCCAGAAUGACCUUCUUGGUAAGAUUCUGGAGAAAAAAAAACUGAAUAUAUGUGUAACAGUCAGUUAGAGUGAUAGUAGUAUUAGUGUACUUCUCUAAGGCAAUUCUAUGGCAUUUGUUUUGAUACUUUUCAAACAUCUUCCAUGGAUUUUAUAUGUUUAGGCAAUAAACUUACUUUUGGUGUUGGAAUGUUGAUGUUUUUCCUUCAGCUAUAAAGAGAACGCUAUGAAGUUAUCAAGAAUUCAUCAUGAUCAGCCAACAAAGCCCCUGGAUCGAGCAGUCUUCUGGAUCGAGUAUGUCAUGCGCCACAAAGGAGCCAAACACCUUCGGGUUGCAGCCCACGACCUCACCUGGUUCCAGUACCACUCUCUGGAUGUGAUUGGGUUCCUGCUGGCCUGUGUGGCAACUGCUACAUUCAUCAUCACAAAAUGUUGUCUGUUUUUUUGCCGAAUGUUUGCGACAGCAGGAAAGAAGAAAAAAAGGGAGUAAUUAUAUCGAGCCCUGAAGCUGGGAUACCUGAACAAUGGAUCUCCUGCAAUUUAUUCCAGCAAGAAGGGGUUGUGAUGGAAAAUUCUCUUCCUCCUGUGACAAAACAUUUUUUCUCUACUUACUUCGUCAAGUCAAAAUUUGUUUUCCGGAGAUUUAGUACCUAUUUAAAAGUUAGAAAUAUUCCAUGUCAAAUAUUGAAAUGAACUAGGAAAAAGUAAAUAUUAUGUAAAAUAUAUGAAUUUAUAGCUAAAUUUAUUGUUCUAAUUCAUAAGUUAUGGCACAAAACAUUUAUUGAACUUAACUAUGUUUCACACAUUGUACAGGGACAGAAGAACAUUGAGAAGUCCACUCACAGUAUCAAUACUGUUUUGCUAAUACUCAGAAAACUUUGGCUUCAUUCUGAGCAGAAUUUUCUUAUUUUAAUUGUUACUGAAGAAACUAUUCAAUGAUUAAUUUCUGUAAAAGGUCUCUUCCUUCCUUUUGCUAUUGUGAGGCCAGUGGUACUACUUGGCUUUUACAGGACAUGGAACCUCAGUAUACCUGCUUUCCUAAAAGACGUGGCAAGACAUUUAUUUAGCUUCUAAGAACUUAAGGUAUUUCCCAGGGGAAUGUAUGUGGAAUUAGAAAUAUAGCGACUACUACUUGUUUCCUGCAGUAAAAUUGAACUAUUUUGCAAAUUCUUUGGUUUCACAAACCAAUUUUUAAGAGCAUUUUAAGAGAUUUACCAGAAUGAUUUCACUCCCUUUAUCAGCCAUUUAUAAAAGAUGUAAGGUCUCCACUUAGUAGUCAUAGAUGAUAUUUUGUAUUUCCAUGGUAU